RNAcentral lists this ribosomal RNA (765 nucleotides) under uncultured bacterium. RNAcentral describes it as "bacterial SSU rRNA". It matches the Rfam family "Bacterial small subunit ribosomal RNA", at positions 619 to 1382 of the family's 1533-position model. The record is from RNAcentral.
GUAUGCUUUGGAAACUGUUAGACNUGAGUGCAGAAGGGGAGAGUGGAAUUCCAUGUGUAGCGGUGAAAUGCGUAGAUAUAUGGAGGAACACCGGUGGCGAAAGCGGCUCUNUGGUCUGUCACUGACGCUGAGGCUCGAAAGCGUGGGUAGCGAACAGGAUUAGAUACCNUGGUAGUCCACGCCGUAAACGCUGAGUGCUAGGUGUUAGGUCCUUUCCGGGACUUAGUGCCGACGCUAACGCAUUAAGCACUCCGCCUGGGGAGUACGACCGCAAGGUUGAAACUCAAAGGAAUUGACGGGGGCCCGCACAAGCGGUGGAGCAUGUGGUUUAAUUCGAAGCAACGCGAAGAACCUUACCAGGUCUUGACAUCCCGAUGCCCGCUCUAGAGAUAGAGUUUUACUUUUUGUACAUCGGAGACAGGUGGUGCAUGGUUGUCGUCAGCUCGUGUCGUGAGAUGUUGGGUNNNNNNNNNNNANCGAGCGCAACCCUUAUUGUUAGUUGCCAUCAUUAAGUUGGGCACUCUAGCGAGACUGCCGGUAAUAAACCGGAGGAAGGUGGGGAUGACGUCAAAUCAUCAUGCCCCUUAUGACCUGGGCUACACACGUGCUACAAUGGUUGGUACAACGAGUCGCAAGCCGGUGACGGCAAGCUAAUCUCUGAAAGCCAAUCUCAGUUCGGAUUGUAGGCUGCAACUCGCCUACAUGAUGUCGGAAUCGCUAGUAAUCGCGGAUCAGCACGCCGCGGUGAAUACGUUCCCGGGCCUU